AAGUCGAACGGAAAGGCCUUUUCGGAGGUACUCGAGUGGCGAACGGGUGAGUAACACGUGGGUGAUCUGCCCUGCACUCUGGGAUAAGCCUGGGAAACUGGGUCUAAUACCGGAUAGGACCGCACUUUAGUGUGUGUGGUGGAAAGUUUUUUCGGUGUAGGAUGAGCCCGCGGCCUAUCAGCUUGUUGGUGGGGUAAUGGCCUACCAAGGCGGCGACGGGUAGUCGGACUGAGAGGUUGGUCGGCCACAUUGGGACUGAGAUACGGCCCAGACUCCUACGGGAGGCAGCAGUGGGGAAUAUUGCACAAUGGGCGCAAGCCUGAUGCAGCGACGCCGCGUGGGGGAUGACGGCCUUCGGGUUGUAAACUCCUUUCGCCAGGGACGAAGCGUUUUGUGACGGUACCUGGAGAAGAAGCACCGGCUAACUACGUGCCAGCAGCCGCGGCAAUACGUAGGGUGCAAGCGUUGUCCGGAAUUACUGGGCGUAAAGAGCUCGUAGGUGGUUUGUCACGUCGUCUGUGGAAUUCCACAGCUUAACUGUGGGCGUGCAGGCGAUACGGGCUGACUUGAGUACUGUAGGGGUAACUGGAAUUCCUGGUGUAGCGGUGAAAUGCGCAGAUAUCAGGAGGAACACCGAUGGCGAAGGCAGGUUACUGGGCAGUUACUGACGCUGAGGAGCGAAAGCAUGGGU
RNAcentral lists this ribosomal RNA (691 nucleotides) under uncultured Actinomycetales bacterium. Its description in RNAcentral is "bacterial SSU rRNA". It matches the Rfam family "Bacterial small subunit ribosomal RNA", at positions 59 to 766 of the family's 1533-position model. The record is from RNAcentral. Lineage: Bacteria; Bacillati; Actinomycetota; Actinomycetes; Actinomycetales.